This 392-nucleotide ribosomal RNA is filed under the name uncultured bacterium. RNAcentral's name for it is "partial 16S ribosomal RNA". It matches the Rfam family "Bacterial small subunit ribosomal RNA", at positions 523 to 918 of the family's 1533-position model. The record is from RNAcentral.
AUACGGAGGAUCCGAGCGUUAUCCGGAUUUAUUGGGUUUAAAGGGUGCGCAGGCGGCCAUUUAAGUCAGCGGUUAAAUCGGGGGGCUCAACCCCAUUCUGCCGUUGAUACUGGGUGGCUUGAUUGCGGUCGAGGUUGGCGGAAUUCGUUGUGUAGCGGUGAAAUGCAUAGAUAUGACGAAGAACACCGAUUGCGUAGGCAGCUGGCCAGACCGCAAAUGACGCUCAUGCACGAAAGUGCGGGGAUCGAACAGGAUUAGAUACCCUGGUAGUCCGCACAGUAAACGAUGAAUACUUGUUUUCGGCGAUAUAAUGUCGGAGGCAAAGCGAAAGCGAUAAGUAUUCCACCUGGGGAGUACGCCGGCAACGGUGAAACUCAAAUGAAUUGACGGGG